CCUCCAACGACAUUUGUGCCUUAGAGAGUUUGUUUACCUCCUUGGUGCAUUCAAACCUGUGUUGUCUGGUGGUCAAGGUGUUGCUUCUCCACUAUGCCCAAUAACGCCUACAACAAUAAUAAGAUACCAGCAAGAUGGGAGGAAUACACAGACAUGGGUCGACAGAUUCCAGGGACGAGGUUCAUUGCCUUCAAGGUUCCACUUCGUGAGGUAUGUGAAGUGAAAAUUA
This 229-nucleotide long non-coding RNA is filed under the name Homarus americanus (American lobster). RNAcentral's name for it is "uncharacterized LOC121855079, transcript variant X1". The record is from RNAcentral. Lineage: Eukaryota; Metazoa; Arthropoda; Malacostraca; Decapoda; Nephropidae.